CCUACGGGUGGCUGCAGUGGGGAAUAUUGGACAAUGGGGGGAACCCUGAUCCAGCCAUGCCGCGUGUGUGAAGAAGGCCCUCGGGUUGUAAAGCACUCUCAGUGAGGAAGAACGCCUGGUGGUUAAUACCCAUCAGGAAAGACAUCACUCACAGAAGAAGCACCGGCUAACUCCGUGCCAGCAGCCGCGGUAAUACGGAGGGUGCGAGCGUUAAUCGGAAUUACUGGGCGUAAAGCGCGCGUAGGUGGCUUGAUAAGCCGGUUGUGAAAGCCCCGGGCUCAACCUGGGAACGGCAUCCGGAACUGUCAAGCUAGAGUGCAGGAGAGGAAGGUAGAAUUCCUGGUGUAGCGGUGAAAUGCGUAGAGAUCGGGAGGAAUACCAGUGGCGAAGGCGGCCUUCUGGACUGACACUGACACUGAGGUGCGAAGGCGUGGGUAGCAAACAGGAUUAGAUACCCGAGUAGUC
RNAcentral lists this ribosomal RNA (465 nucleotides) under Vreelandella stevensii. RNAcentral describes it as "partial 16S ribosomal RNA". It matches the Rfam family "Bacterial small subunit ribosomal RNA", at positions 338 to 795 of the family's 1533-position model. Lineage: Bacteria; Pseudomonadati; Pseudomonadota; Gammaproteobacteria; Oceanospirillales; Halomonadaceae. The record is from RNAcentral.